Molecule: ribosomal RNA, 253 nt
Filed under: uncultured bacterium
Lineage: Bacteria
Description: partial 16S ribosomal RNA
Rfam family: Bacterial small subunit ribosomal RNA
Source: RNAcentral
UACGUAGGGGGCAAGCGUUGUCCGGAAUCAUUGGGCGUAAAGAGCGCGUAGGCGGUCCGGUAAGUCCGCUCUGAAAGUCCGGGGCUCAACCCCGGGAGGCGGGCGGAUACUGUCGGGCUAGAGUCCGGAAGAGGCGAGUGGAAUUCCUGGUGUAGCGGUGAAAUGCGCAGAUAUCAGGAGGAACACCAAUGGCGAAGGCAGCUCGCUGGGACGUGACUGACGAUGAGACGCGAAAGCGUGGGGAGCAAACAGG